Molecule: ribosomal RNA, 485 nt
Filed under: uncultured bacterium
Lineage: Bacteria
Description: partial 16S ribosomal RNA
Rfam family: Bacterial small subunit ribosomal RNA
Source: RNAcentral
AUUGAACGCUGGCGGCAGGCUUAACACAUGCAAGUCGAGCGGGGAAGUAUAGCUUGCUAUACGACCUAGCGGCGGACGGGUGAGUAAUGCUUAGGAAUCUGCCUAUUAGUGGGGGACAACAUUCCGAAAGGAAUGCUAAUACCGCAUACGUCCUACGGGAGAAAGCAGGGGAUCUUCGGACCUUGCGCUAAUAGAUGAGCCUAAGUCAGAUUAGCUAGUUGGUGGGGUAAAGGCCUACCAAGGCGACGAUCUGUAGCGGGUCUGAGAGGAUGAUCCGCCACACUGGGACUGAGACACGGCCCAGACUCCUACGGGAGGCAGCAGUGGGGAAUAUUGGACAAUGGGCGCAAGCCUGAUCCAGCCAUGCCGCGUGUGUGAAGAAGGCCUUUUGGUUGUAAAGCACUUUAAGCGAGGAGGAGGCUACUUGGAUUAAUACUCUAAGAUAGUGGACGUUACUCGCAGAAUAAGCACCGGCUAACUCUGUG